Long non-coding RNA from Empidonax traillii (willow flycatcher), 144 nucleotides. RefSeq lists it as uncharacterized. NCBI's taxonomy places the organism in Eukaryota, Metazoa, Chordata, Aves, Passeriformes, Tyrannidae. The record is from RefSeq and is a predicted model, not a curated record. The transcript has 3 exons.
CAUUGUGUGGAAGAGCAGGGAGAUGCAUCCUCUUGGCUGUCCCUGGCUGCUUUGUGUGGAAAUCCAAUGUCCUCUCAGGGUUACAGCAUAAUAAUUUACAGACUGUACUUGCUGCCAAGCCUCUGCUGCCCUGAAAGGCUGUUU